UUCCGGUUGAUCCUGCCGGCGGCCACCGCUAUUGGAAUCCGAUUAAGACAUGCGAGUCGAGAGUCUUCGGGACUCGGCAGACUGCUCAGUAACACGUGGAUAACAUGCCCUUGGGUGGGAGAUAACCUCGGGAAACUGAGAAUAAUACCCCAUAGAUCUAGGAUGCUGGAACGCUUCUAGGUCGAAAGCUUCGGCGCCCAAGGAUUGGUCUGCGGCCUAUCAGGUAGUAGUGGGUGUAACGGACCCACUAGCCCAUGACGGGUAUGGGCCUUGGGAGAGGGAGCCCAGAGAUGGACUCUGAGACACGAGUCCAGGCCCUACGGGGCGCAGCAGUCGCGAAAACUUCACAAUGGGGGAAACCCUGAUGAGGGGAUUCCAAGUGCCAACACAAAGUGUUGGCUGUUCUUCUGUCUAAACCGCAGGAGGAGUAAGGGCCGGGUAAGACGGGUGCCAGCCGCCGCGGUAAUACCCGCGGCCCGAGUGGUGGUCGAUUUUAUUGAGCCUAAAACGUUCGUAGCCUGCCUGGUAWAUCCUUGGGUAAAUCGGCCAGCUUAACUGUCCGAAUUCCGAGGAGACUGCCAGGCUUGGGACCGGGAGAGGUCAGAGGUACUUCUGGGGUAGGGGUAAAAUCCUGUAAUCCUGGAAGGACCACCGGUGGCGAAGGCGUCUGACUAGAACGGAUCCGACGGUGAGGGACGAAGCCCUGGGGCGCAAACGGGAUUAGAUACCCCGGUAGUCCAGGGUGUAAACGCUGCGGGCUUGGUGUUGGGGGUCCUUCGAGGGCGCCCAGUGCCGGAGAGAAGUUGUUAAGCCUGCUGCUUGGGGAGUACGUCCGCAAGGAUGAAACUUAAAGGAAUUGGCGGGGGAGCACCGCAACGGGAGGAGCGUGCGGUUCAAUUGGAUUCAACGCCGGGA
This 915-nucleotide ribosomal RNA is filed under the name uncultured Thermoplasmatales archaeon. RNAcentral describes it as "bacterial SSU rRNA". It matches the Rfam family "Archaeal small subunit ribosomal RNA", at positions 1 to 923 of the family's 1478-position model. Lineage: Archaea; Methanobacteriati; Thermoplasmatota; Thermoplasmata; Thermoplasmatales. The record is from RNAcentral.